AGCUGCGACUCCUUGUGGGACGCUCUUCUUAAAUAUAUUGGUGCGGCCUGCCGCCCGGUUAUACAACGUUCUAGGUUCGUCCAACUCGUUGACAUGCCGGUGCACUUUUGGUGCUGCACCUAAAGCCUGCCUUGUGCCUUGUGCUCUUGGCUUAUUCAUUUAUUGACCUCAGAUCAGGUAGGAAUACGCGCUGAACUUAA
Molecule: unclassified non-coding RNA, 200 nt
Filed under: soil metagenome
Description: partial contains internal transcribed spacer 2 and large subunit ribosomal RNA
Source: RNAcentral